UACGUAGGGAGCAAGCGUUGUCCGGAAUUAUUGGGCGUAAAGGGCUCGUAGGCGGUUUGUCGCGUCGGGAGUGAAAUCCACUGGCUUAACUGGUGGCUUGCUUUCGAUACGGGCAGACUGGAGGUAUGCAGGGGAGAACGGAAUUCCUGGUGUAGCGGUGAAAUGCGCAGAUAUCAGGAGGAACACCGGUGGCGAAGGCGGUUCUCUGGGCAUGUCCUGACGCUGAGGAGCGAAAGUGUGGGGAGCGAACAGG
This 253-nucleotide ribosomal RNA is filed under the name uncultured bacterium. RNAcentral describes it as "partial 16S ribosomal RNA". It matches the Rfam family "Bacterial small subunit ribosomal RNA", at positions 524 to 776 of the family's 1533-position model. The record is from RNAcentral.